This 253-nucleotide ribosomal RNA is filed under the name uncultured bacterium. RNAcentral's name for it is "partial 16S ribosomal RNA". It matches the Rfam family "Bacterial small subunit ribosomal RNA", at positions 524 to 776 of the family's 1533-position model. The record is from RNAcentral.
UACGUAGGGUGCAAGCGUUAAUCGGAAUUACUGGGCGUAAAGCGUGCGCAGGCGGUGAUGUAAGACAGAUGUGAAAUCCCCGGGCUCAACCUGGGAACUGCAUUUGUGACUGCAUCGCUGGAGUGCGGCAGAGGGGGAUGGAAUUCCGCGUGUAGCAGUGAAAUGCGUAGAUAUGCGGAGGAACACCGAUGGCGAAGGCAGCUCGCUGGGACGGUACUGACGCUGAGGCGCGAAAGCGUGGGGAGCAAACAGG